RNAcentral lists this ribosomal RNA (467 nucleotides) under uncultured bacterium. RNAcentral describes it as "partial 16S ribosomal RNA". It matches the Rfam family "Bacterial small subunit ribosomal RNA", at positions 29 to 507 of the family's 1533-position model. The record is from RNAcentral.
ACGCACGCUGGCGGCGUGCUUAACACAUGCCAGUCGAACGGAAAGGCCCUGCUUUUGUGGGGUGCUCGAGUGGCGAACGGGUGAGUAACACGUGAGUAACCUGCCCUUGACUUUGGGAUAACUUCAGGAAACUGGGGCUAAUACCGGAUAGGAGCUCCUGCUGCAUGGUGGGGGUUGGAAAGUUUCGGCGGUUGGGGAUGGACUCGCGGCUUAUCAGCUUGUUGGUGGGGUAGUGGCUUACCAAGGCUUUGACGGGUAGCCGGCCUGAGAGGGUGACCGGCCACAUUGGGACUGAGAUACGGCCCAGACUCCUCCGGGAGGCAGCAGUGGGGAAUAUUGCACAAUGGGCGGAAGCCUGAUGCAGCAACGCCGCGUGCGGGAUGACGGCCUUCGGGUUGUAAACCGCUUUCGCCUGUGACGAAGCGUGAGUGACGGUAAUGGGUAAAGAAGCACCGGCUAACUACGUG